UUUUUAUUCAAACCGUAGAAGUAGGCUUAGAGAAUAUUUUAAGAAAUGUGAUGAAUUUGGCCUAGAGAAAGAAAGGUUCCUAAACCUUGUCCCACUAGAUGGAAUUACAUGUAUAAAAAGUUGUUGCAUAUGAAUAGAAGAACCGAAUAAGUGCAACGUAUAAUGCUCGUGUAGUUGAUGGUGGUGGUGAUGAUGAUGAGCACCUUACAAAUCAAGAUUGGAGUAGUGUUAAAAUGCUUGUAGAUUUUUUAGAACAAUUUCAUAUUGCUACAAAUGAAUUGUCUGGCCAAUAUUAUCCUACU
RNAcentral lists this long non-coding RNA (302 nucleotides) under Nicotiana benthamiana. Its description in RNAcentral is "long non-coding RNA (NBEN_LNC001971)". Lineage: Eukaryota; Viridiplantae; Streptophyta; Magnoliopsida; Solanales; Solanaceae. The record is from RNAcentral.